CACGUAGGGCGCAAGCGUUGUCCGGAAUUAUUGGGCGUAAAGAGCUCGUAGGCGGUCUGUUGCGUCCGCUGUGAAAACUCGGGGCUUAACCCCGAGCCUGCAGUGGAUACGGGCAGACUAGAGGUAGGUAGGGGAGAAUGGAAUUCCCGGUGUAGCGGUGAAAUGCGCAGAUAUCGGGAGGAACACCGGUGGCGAAGGCGGCUCGCUGGACCUUUUCUGACGCUGAGGCGCGAAAGCUAGGGGAGCAAACGGG
Molecule: ribosomal RNA, 253 nt
Filed under: uncultured bacterium
Lineage: Bacteria
Description: partial 16S ribosomal RNA
Rfam family: Bacterial small subunit ribosomal RNA
Source: RNAcentral